CUGCUAUCGGAUUGAUACUAAGCCAUGCGAGUCUUUGUAGUAAUACAAGGCAGACGGCUCAGUAACACGUAGUCAACCUACCCUAUGGACGAGAAUAAUCUCGGGAAACUGAGCAUAAUUCUUGAUAGAUCAUAAUGCCUGGAAUGGUUUAUGGUUAAAAUGAUUCGUCGCCAUAGGAUGGGACUGCGGCCUAUCAGCUUGUUGGUGAGGUAAUGGCCCACCAAGGCGAUUACAGGUACGGGCUCUGAGAGGAGAAGCCCGGAGAUGGGUACUGAGACACGGACCCAGGCCCUAUGGGGCGCAGCAGGCGAGAAAACUUUGCAAUGUGCGAAAGCACGACAAGGUUAAUCCGAGUGAUUUCUGCUAAAGAAAUCUUUUGCCAGUCGUAAAACCGCUGGUGAAUAAGGGGUGGGCAAGUUCUGGUGUCAGCCGCCGCGGUAAAACCAGCACCUCAAGUGGUCAGGAUGAUUAUUGGGCCUAAAGCAUCCGUAGCCUGCUUUGUAAGUUUUCGGUUAAAUCCACGUGCUCAACGCAUGGGCUGCCGAAAAUACUGCAUAGCUAGGGAGUGGGAGAGGUAGACGGUACUCAGUAGGUAGGGGUAAAAUCCUUUGAUCUAUUGAUGACCACCUGUGGCGAAGGCGGUCUACCAGAACACGUUCGACGGUGAGGGAUGAAAGCUGGGGGAGCAAACCGGAUUAGAUACCCGGGUAGUCCCAGCUGUAAACGAUGCAGACUCGAUGAUGCAUUGGCAUAAUAGCCAUUGCAGUG
This 768-nucleotide ribosomal RNA is filed under the name uncultured marine group I thaumarchaeote. RNAcentral describes it as "SSU rRNA". It matches the Rfam family "Archaeal small subunit ribosomal RNA", at positions 27 to 800 of the family's 1478-position model. The record is from RNAcentral. Lineage: Archaea; Thermoproteati; Nitrososphaerota.